This 425-nucleotide ribosomal RNA is filed under the name uncultured bacterium. RNAcentral describes it as "bacterial SSU rRNA". It matches the Rfam family "Bacterial small subunit ribosomal RNA", at positions 354 to 796 of the family's 1533-position model. The record is from RNAcentral.
GUGGGGAAUUUUGCGCAAUGGGGGCAACCCUGACGCAGCAAUACCGCGUGAGUGAAGAAGGCCUUUGGGUCGUAAAGCUCUUUUCUUGGGGAAGAUAGUGACGGUACCCAAGGAAUAAGCACCGGCUAACUCCGUGCCAGCAGCCGCGGUAAUACGGAGGGUGCAAGCGUUGUUCGGAAUCACUGGGCGUAAAGGGCGCGUAGGCGGCCUAAUAAGUUAAGGGUGAAAUCCCGGGGCUCAACUCCGGAACUGCUCUUAAAACUGUUAGGCUAGAGAUAGCUAGAGGCGGGUGGAAUUCCUAGUGUAGAGGUGAAAUUCGUAGAUAUUAGGAGGAACACCGGUGGCGAAGGCGGCCCGCUGGGGCUAUUCUGACGCUAAGGCGCGAAAGCGUGGGGAGCAAACGGGAUUAGAAACCCGAGUAGUCC